Molecule: ribosomal RNA, 680 nt
Filed under: Sclerococcum ahtii
Lineage: Eukaryota; Fungi; Ascomycota; Eurotiomycetes; Sclerococcales; Dactylosporaceae
Description: mitochondrial SSU rRNA
Rfam family: Bacterial small subunit ribosomal RNA
Source: RNAcentral
GAAGAAUUCAGAAUUCUAAAUAUAAUAAUAAACUUGACUAUUUUAUAUUUAUGUGUCUUGACCAAAUCAUGUGCCAGCAGUCGCGGUAAUACAUGAAAGACUAGUGUUAUUCAUCUUUAAUAGGUUUAAAGGGUACCUAGACGGUAAAUAUAGCCUAAAAAAGGGACAUAUUUACUAGAGUUUUAUUAGAGAAGGUGGAAUUUUUGGAUUAAAGAUAUAAUUUGCUAAAACCAAAAAGACAGACAACGGUGAAGACAACCUUCUAUCUAUAAACUGACGUUGAGGGACGAAGGCUUGGGUAGCGAUAAGGAUUAGAUACCCUAGUAGUCCAAGCAGAAAAUUAUGAAUGUCAUAGACUUAUUUUAAUUAAGUCUAUAAACGAAAGUGUAAGCAUUCCACCUUGAGAGUAAUGUGGCAACGCAGAAACUUAAAUCAUUAGACCGUUUCUGAAACCAGUAAUGAAGUAUGUUAUUUAAUUCGAUGACCCGCGAAUAACCUUACCACAAUUUGUAUAUUAUUUAGUUAAUACAGGUGCUGCAUGGCUGUCUUUAGCUAAUGUCGUGAGACUAUGGUUAGUUCCAUUAAUUAGCGUAAACCCUUAUAAUAUUUUUUUAUAUUAUAGCUCUGUCGUUAUAUUGAUAUUGCAUAAUAGGGAUCAAGACAAGUCCUCAUGGCCUUAA